Molecule: transfer RNA, 84 nt
Filed under: Candidatus Woesearchaeota archaeon
Lineage: Archaea; Nanobdellati; Candidatus Woesearchaeota
Description: tRNA-Ser
Rfam family: tRNA
About the family: Transfer RNA (tRNA) molecules are approximately 80 nucleotides in length. Their secondary structure includes four short double-helical elements and three loops (D, anti-codon, and T loops).
Source: RNAcentral
GCCGCGGUCGCUUAACCUGGUAUAGCGCGGGAUUGCUAAUUCCGUGUCCGAAAGGGCGUGGGAGUUCAAAUCUCCCCCGCGGCG